GAACUGUGAUCUCAGGCAACUUAUAAUUUCUUAUCUAGGCGUUGCCUAGAUAAGAAAUAAUUUUGCAUAUAUCGGGGAAUCGUGAGGAUUUUAUCGGUGAGUAUUCGCACUCGGAAGGGCAAUGAUGAAGAUUAAAAUGUAUUGAAUAAUCGGACAUAGUACGAUAAGGUUGUAUGUCUAAAGGGAAACAGCCCAGAACAAGAGUUAAGGUUCCAAAAUUAUUGUUAAGUGAAACUAAGGAAGUUUCUAUCUAAUACAACUAGGAAAUAGGCUUAGAAGCGGCUAUUUUUUGAAGACCUCGUAACAGAGCACUGGUUUAGUAAACAAAAUUUACAUUGAUAGUUGCACCGAAAAUUUAACGGAUCUAAACAGUAUACCGACACCUUGUCCAUAUUGUUAAAUAUGAUUUAUAAUUUAACUAUGGGGUAGCAGAACGUUGGGUAAAUUUAGGACAUAUUCUUUUUAAGAGUAUAAAAUUGACUGUGGCAGGUUAAGAAAAUACCCCAAGUGAGAAUGCUGACAUGAGUAACGAAAAAGGGCUCCUUUGCGUUCGUUUUGAUAACAAAACUCAGAUUGAAACAUUGAAGAUAGCAAUAGGUACUACACUAGCCCGUGAGACUAGACCUAUUAAAACUAGAACGUAGAAAAUAAUAUGGAAGGAGGUAUUUAACAAAAGAUGCCAUAGCCCUCGCCUAAAGCUUAUGGAUUUAUUAAAGUAACGGCCUCUAAGUUUAUUAACCUAAAGGAUUAAACGAUGAGUAAACCUUACCUACAAAGUAACAACAUCUUCUUGCCCUGUGAUAAUGUUUAUACUCGCCCCUGCUCGUGUUUUUUUUUAUAUAAAGCAAAGGGAGAGUGAUAAUAUUUACACUCUGUAAGAAAAGUGAAGAAGGUUCUGGAAAAACUUGUAACAAGUAAUGUUUAUUUUAUCAUUUUAAAUGUACUAAAAUAUAUGAAGAAUGACGAAAUAAGGCUAAAUAAACCGUACCUAAAUACUACCACAAGUAAGCAAGUAGAGAAUACGGG
RNAcentral lists this ribosomal RNA (1026 nucleotides) under Sclerotinia sclerotiorum. Its description in RNAcentral is "LSU rRNA". The stretch from base 1 to 521 matches the Rfam family "Bacterial large subunit ribosomal RNA", at positions 823 to 1301 of the family's 2925-position model. Lineage: Eukaryota; Fungi; Ascomycota; Leotiomycetes; Helotiales; Sclerotiniaceae. The record is from RNAcentral.